AGUAAGGAAGAAGGGCCGAUACCUCGCUGGGAAAUGGUGUGGUUGGAGAGGGAGCGGGCGGAGAGGAGGGCGGCGCUGAAUGCGGAGGCCGCUGCCUUGGUGCGCUCGCGGCCGUCGGCGAUCUGCCGCUCGAACGCCAAACACUGCGCCGCCAUCCUCCUGCGCAACUCGAUGGCUCCUCCUCCUCCGCCGCCGCCGCCUUCCAUGGUGAAGCCGCCGGAGCCGGAGACGGGAGC
This 236-nucleotide small RNA is filed under the name Oryza sativa Japonica Group (Japanese rice). RNAcentral's name for it is "sRNA Os01g0973250". Lineage: Eukaryota; Viridiplantae; Streptophyta; Magnoliopsida; Poales; Poaceae. The record is from RNAcentral.